UACGUAGGGACCGAGCGUUGUCCGGAAUCAUUGGGCGUAAAGAGCGUGUAGGCGGCCACUUAAGUCCUGCGUGAAAUCUUGCGGCUCAACCGCAAGCGGUCGUGGGAAACUGGUUGGCUAGAGUGCGGGAGAGGAGAGUGGAAUUCCUGGUGUAGCGGUGAAAUGCGCAGAUAUCAGGAAGAACACCCGUGGCGAAGGCGGCUCUCUGGAACGCAACUGACGCUGAGACGCGAAAGCGUGGGGAGCAAACAGG
Molecule: ribosomal RNA, 253 nt
Filed under: uncultured bacterium
Lineage: Bacteria
Description: partial 16S ribosomal RNA
Rfam family: Bacterial small subunit ribosomal RNA
Source: RNAcentral